This 573-nucleotide ribosomal RNA is filed under the name Woloszynskia sp. QZ-2012. RNAcentral's name for it is "partial 23S ribosomal RNA". It matches the Rfam family "Bacterial large subunit ribosomal RNA", at positions 1946 to 2606 of the family's 2925-position model. The record is from RNAcentral. Lineage: Eukaryota; Dinophyceae; Gymnodiniales; Tovelliaceae.
CGGUCCCAAGGUAGCAAAUUUCCUUGUCAUUUAAUUAGUGACCUGCAUGAAACAUAGAACGAUUCGAUAGCUGUCUUCUGUACACAUGUUGAUGAAAGAGUAGGGAGUGUGAAGAUACGUUCCCAGUGUUAUAGGACAAAAAGACCCUGUGAAGCUUCCACAGAUACAAAUACUAUUCAUCAUCACAUGUUACAGUAUAUUCUCCAACAACCAUUCAUCAAACAUCAUUUUCAACAUUCCACAAUAUUUAUCUUUCAGUUUCAUUGGGGCGAUAACCUUCUUUCAUCAAACAUUUGGUGAACAAAGCUACAACAGAUUUAUUUCCACAAUUAUAGUACAAAGAUACAUUUCUAGCUUACUAGUAAUAUAUCUCAUCCCAGUAUUUAAAUGGUAUCUUAAUGACCUUCAUCCAAAAUAUAUCGAAUCAAAGCUACUUAAGGGAUAACAGGCUAAUCAUCUCAUAAAGCUCACAUUGAAUUCUUGGUUUGGCACCUCGAUGUCGGCUUUUCUAACAUAAAGAAGUACAAUUCUUACAAAUGGGAGUGCUCAUCCCACACUUUAGGUACGUGAGCU